AUGGCGGAGGUGGGGAGCAUACCAGACAUCGAGUCAGUCCGCAACACCAGUCUGGAGUGGCUCCUGGACCUUAUUGCAGAAUGUAAUGAAGGGAACCGGCUGCGCCUGAAUAUGAUGUUAUGGAUGUAUUGGCAUGUGCGUAAUGAGACCACUCAUGACAAGCCAGCGCCGCCCAUGGAGGGAGAUUGGGACAAAGAGAAGAUGGCCAUCCAUCAAGAAGGUGUAGAACAUCCUAUAUCGCAUGUGAGAGUUGUGCCACGAACAGCCCGCAAACGGAAUCCCCCUCCCGCCAAGUGGACGAAGCUGAAUGUCGACGGUUCCUUUUCGCAUGAUGACGGGAGGGCUGGGGCAGGAAUGCUGGCUGGGUACAUGGAGGGCAUAGCAUUGGCCCUCCAGUGGACGGAGUUGCGGUUCAUCGUCGAGAGCGAUAGUCUGCAGGCGGUGCAGCUAAUCAAUGCCUCAGGCCAAGACCGCUCACAGUACACCAUGGUGGUUUCAGAGGUGAAGCGUAUUAUGAGUGAAAGAGAGUGUCGUGUUGUUCAUAUUUCUCGAGGGCAGAAUAAUGUAAGCCAUAUGUUGGCCAACUUUGGGAGAACGGAAUACCGUACUGUGGUCUGGCUCCGCUCCGGCCCGGACAAUAUCCCUAGCUUGUGUAGAGAGGACCUUCUUGGCAUUUGA
This 678-nucleotide ribosomal RNA is filed under the name Triticum aestivum (bread wheat). RNAcentral's name for it is "partial small subunit ribosomal RNA". The record is from RNAcentral. Lineage: Eukaryota; Viridiplantae; Streptophyta; Magnoliopsida; Poales; Poaceae.